RNAcentral lists this transfer RNA (68 nucleotides) under Euapta godeffroyi. Its description in RNAcentral is "tRNA-Tyr". It matches the Rfam family "tRNA". Rfam says of the family: Transfer RNA (tRNA) molecules are approximately 80 nucleotides in length. The record is from RNAcentral. Lineage: Eukaryota; Metazoa; Echinodermata; Holothuroidea; Apodida; Synaptidae.
GGUAAGAUAUUUUAACUGUAAAAUUUAUGUCUGUAAAACAUGAGAAGCCGGAAACUUGGCUCUUACCU